Long non-coding RNA from Ahaetulla prasina, 1805 nucleotides. RefSeq lists it as uncharacterized. The record is from RefSeq and is a predicted model, not a curated record. The transcript has 3 exons. Lineage: Eukaryota; Metazoa; Chordata; Lepidosauria; Squamata; Colubridae.
GGACUAGCUGGGGUAUUGAUCAGCCGUUCAGCAGCCGGUAGAGCAGCAGCAGCAACAGCAAUGGAGCUGGCAGUGUUGGUGAGGCCUGGAGACAUCGGAGGCACUUGGCAUUGUUUGACAAGUUCAGAGUGACUCCGAGACUAGGUCAGGAUUUUAAUCUCAGAACUGGAGCCAUCCUGCCAAAAGAUGUUUCAAAAUUCUUGCUAAAGUUUAAAGUGCAUGCGAAACGUAUCAGCAUGACAGCAUCAUGAUAUAAUUCAGCAGAGUCGUGCAAAAUGAAAGGAGUUUUGAGUCACGCCUACAGGAAGGUCUCUGCAAUGUUAUGAUGUCUGUGGUGAGAAUGAAGAAGCAGUGGGAAAAACCGAAGGUUACAAAGAAAAAUGUUUUCUGGACCCUCCAUAAAAUUCUCUAAAGGAGGCUGGGACACUGUAAAAGUCCACAUCUGGGAUUAUCAAGGGGUUUUCAGUGCCCUCCCCCCCAGCAUAAAAAAAAUAAAUAAAGAAUCCCUGAGCCACAUAAAAGGAAAACCAAGGAAAAGAACUGUCAUAAUAACAUUGCUUUUCCUUGCAGCUCUGCUACUGUAAAUUCUUUUAAUCAGUUCCUCUGUUAAUUGGAAGAGCUGUGUGUUGUCUAACAGUCGUGGAUUUCAUUAUGCUUUCUUCAGUAAUUAUAUAUUUUAACUACAAAGUAUAGUCUAGGAAUACCAGACAAAACCCACCUCCACCACCUUCUCUGGGUACAGUUGAAGUUGCAAAUCAAACCACAUCUUUAGAAUGAGCAGCCUGAAUAGGCUGAACAAGCCACCAGCAUCUUAGUCAAGCCAAGACGAGCAAAGUACCUUUCUCAGGGGCUGGCAUGGGAGAAAAGGUGGUUAAAUGUUAGCUUGCAGGUGACCUACUUAGAAGAGUCUUGGGUAAAAAGAAACUACGGCAGAGCAAUUUACAGAUAGUCUUUGACUUACGGCAGUUUAUUUAGUGAUGGUUCAAAGUUACAAUGGCACUGAACUAGAAUAGAAUAAAGUAGAAUUUUUUAUUGGCCAAGUGUGAUUGGACACACAAGGAAUUUGUCUUGGUGCAUAUGCUCUCAGUGUACAUAAAAGAAAUCUUCAUCAAGGUACAACACUUACAACACUUAAUGAUAGUCAUAGGGUACAAAUUUAAUGACUUAUGACCAUUUUCCACAGUUACCACCUUUGGAGCAUCCCCCUGAUCAUGCAAUCAAAAUUCAAAUGCUUGGCAACUGUUUCAUACCUAUGACGGUUGCAGUGUCCCGGAGUCAUGUGAUCCCCUUUUGCAUCCUUCUGACAAGCAAAGUCUGCAGGGAAACCAGAUUCACUCAACAACCGGGUUACUAACUGCAGUGAUUCACUUAACAACUGUGGCAAGAAAGGUUGUAAAAUGGGGGCCCUUAACAAAUGUCUCACUUGCCAAUAGAAAUUUGAGACUCAAUUGUAGUCAUAAAUCGAGCUCAUUCAGCGGGCCUGUAGAAAUUCUUUUGAUGUGUAAUGACAGAAAAGCGGUCAUUUGAACCUCAAAACUAUGGUAGCUCUUUGAGGUAAAACAAAAUUGAGGACAUCUGCAUGUAUAUUUGGUGGAAAGGUCUAUUUUGGAUAAAAAGGUCUCAGUAUACAAAGGUAUAAAACCUUGGCUCCGAUUUAUCUUUUAAAACCCAUGACAAUAUAGUUUGGAUUAAUUAAAGGCAUUAUAAAACAGCAGACUGGCAUGAAGUUAUUAAUCAUAAUGAACUUAGUAUUGACUAAAAUCUGGCACAGCACAAAGAUGCACCUGAUCUUUGUAACGGGUUCA